RNAcentral lists this transfer RNA (77 nucleotides) under Sulfurovum sp. RNAcentral's name for it is "tRNA-Arg". It matches the Rfam family "tRNA". Rfam says of the family: Transfer RNA (tRNA) molecules are approximately 80 nucleotides in length. Their secondary structure includes four short double-helical elements and three loops (D, anti-codon, and T loops). Lineage: Bacteria; Pseudomonadati; Campylobacterota; Epsilonproteobacteria; Campylobacterales; Sulfurovaceae. The record is from RNAcentral.
GCACUCAUGGCUCAGCUGGAUAGAGCAUCGGUUUGCGGUACCGAAGGUCUCAGGUUCGAAUCCUGAUGGGUGUACCA